RNA transcript from Brienomyrus brachyistius, 6314 nucleotides. RefSeq lists it as uncharacterized. The record is from RefSeq and is a predicted model, not a curated record. Lineage: Eukaryota; Metazoa; Chordata; Actinopteri; Osteoglossiformes; Mormyridae. The transcript has 5 exons.
UGGGGGGUCUAGAGGCCAUCCAGAUUAUGGCUGCAGGAGAGCCCUACUAGCUCUAAGGUGCUAGAAAUUGUGGGAGAGAAGAACCACAAUCCCAGAGACAGGUACAACUGCACCCUGACUUCGGGAGCAUGCUGUGUUGGAUAUAUGAAAACAGGUGUUGAGAAUAAUAAUUAGAAAUCUUUUAGCAUUAGACACUGAAUGAAAAUGAGACCAGGAUUUUACUUCACGACUUUUGUGAUUAAUUUAAAAAUGCAUUAUGGUAAGAAACACUGGUUUUUACAGAUGCUGGUGGGAUUAACGUAUGCCCCCUCAUUAUGGACGAAUUUGACUACAGCGUACAUAUCUCUGAGCUUGACUGGGAUUCCUUUUUCCAUGAGUGUGAGGAGUGUGACCUUCUGUCACCGGCGAUGGCCAGUUCCGAGGCAUCAGGCGCAAGCGAUGCUGAUGAUGUUGAUAGCGGUCCCUCAGAUGGAGACACUGAUGUUGACUGCACCAUAGACGGUCCCCCAGACUGUGAGGGGUUACUGGUGGAAAAUUAUAUCAGCAUGGGUGACCCCAGGGAUCCUGAGGACCUCCUUUCCAGCAGUGAAGAGGACAGACCUCUGGAGGCAGUAAAUAGAUUCUUUGAGAGGCUAAGAAGUCUGGCAGAUCCUGAAGAGUGUCUCACAUGCAGACCGGCUGCAGAAGCCACUGGGAGCGGGCAGAAACUGGCUGGGUUCAUUGAGAAAUAUCAUGACCAUGUUGCACCAAAGGGACCCUGGAAGUCUGAGACGGACACUAAUCAGAGCACAGAAAGCAACAAGACAUUCUCAGAGAACACAUCCUCGGCUGAUGGUGAGAGUGAUUUGGAGGCUCGUGCCAGCGAGUCCGUUAGUUUUCCAGUGGAGCUGCUGAUCAAUGGGAAGAAGGUACUGAUGAGGGAGACUAGAAAUAAACUCCCCAAAAGUAACAAAGUGACUGAAUAUGUUAACGUACCAACUGAGGGACAAUCAUUUAACUCUAUGCCAGCUACCCACUUAUGUUUAGAAAGCCAAGAAAAAACAAGCCCAAGGGAACAAGAUGUAAAGGACACACAACUAAGCACUGAGUGUCCCAGUUUGAGUUCACCCAACUCGGAGGAAGGCCAAUGGCAUAUUGCAAUGGAUGCCAGUAGUUUACAAUCCGAAAACAAAAACACAGAGAUAGUAGGUAAUACCACUAGUAAACACACAGACUGUGACAUUUCUAUAUCUUGUGCAGGUAUUAAUUCCACAAAUCGUGAACCAGGGAUCAUAGUGUCUAGUGAUUGUGUGGCUUCACCCAUACAUGAAAACAGUGUCCCUGAGCUACCACUGACUGAGGACAAAUCAGUAUAUCACUCACAAAUUCAUCCAGUAUUUCAGAAUAAUAUCCAAGACAGUGAGGAAGAGAGAAAUAGACCUGAUUUACAGAUGCAUCCAUGGGAAGACAACAGAAUUAACAAUGAAACCGAGCAGGAUGAGGUACUUCAGGAUAAGUUGGAAAUAAACACAUUGAAAAAAUGCAAUGCCACUGAAUCCAGGGAAGCUGUAACGGUAAUCAACCCAGAGGAAUUCAGCUGUCUGGAAAAAGGCAGAGAGAGUCCAAAGGUUCACAAAACUCAUUAUUUACUGAUGAAUACUCAAGAUACUUGCAAGUUUGACAAAGGAGGUCUGAUAAGCAGGACAUUUUAUUCAGAUCAGAACAAUUUGAAAAUUAUACAGAAUACAGAAUAUCCUUCAUCUCAGAAUGGCACAUAUGGAGUCAAACUAAGAAAGGACAGUUUGUCUGCAUCCAAACAAACACAAGUCCAUGUAGACCAGAAAAAAACAGAAAAUGAACAAAAUCUACAGAUAUAUUCACAGGACAUGAAUCCCAGCACAGUAGGUGGAGACUGUACAGCAGCUGAACAGGAAAGCCCACCAAGCAACUAUGAUGUAAAAAUAAAAUGUGACAUAGGGAUUCAUCAUAGAGAUGAUAUUGAGAGUCUUCAAAUGAGUACAGACUACAAUGUACCUGUUUCAGAAAAUACCUCACCAUUAAUUAGUAAUAGAUUUUUUCCUGAAUCUGGAGGACAGUUGAAUUUUCCUCAAACAGAAAGCAAGCAAAGCACAGAUACUCAAACUGAUGCAGAAACAACAGAAUCAAGUAAUAUUUGCAAAUCUGAUUUAUCCACAAGUCCACGUGAAAGCUUAGACAAUAUUAAGGUGUCAGAAAUUAAAAAUGUUCCAUGUGCACUUCUGGAUCCAUAUGGCAGCAUAACCAUUCAGACACACACCCAUGAAAUUAUAGCUCUUACUGAUGACUCUGAGCUCAGCAAUGAAAUCUGUAAACAUAAUCCAGUUUGUGCGGGCUCAGAUUCACAUACAAGUUCAGGUGACCUAAAAAAGACAUUAGAUGAGAAGAGUGUUCCAUAUGUACUUCCUGACACUAAAAACAGCAAAUACGUUCAAAUGAACACCAAUGAACAUAUUGCCCUAAGUGAUAUGUCUGAGUUUAGUACUGAAAGCAGUAAUCAUAUUCAGGCCCACACAUAUAAAGGUAUAUGUCUUACUGACAACUCUGAACUCAAUACUGACAGUAGCCCAGAAGUGCAGUUUUCAGAAACAGAGGCAGAACCUGGACCAAUCAUUCAUGAACAAGGAGAAUCCACACACCCUGUCUAUGCGAUCUCUUCCUUCUGGGAUGAAAUGGAAAAGCUAACAAUCAAUGAUAUCCUGCAGCUUAGAUUGGUAAGUAACGCCCAGCACUCCAGCAUAUCCUCUCACAUGCGAGGCAGUACUGUGAUGAAAGCUGUGGACUCAGGCAUAUUCACUCAGCCAGGGGAUUACAAGCCAGAAAGCUCCAGUGGGGAUAUCUCCAGCAUUUCAGAUAUGGAGGAAGAGUUGCCCCUUACUCACAAUGUCAGAGGAACUCCCAGUCCAGCACUAAGAGACUUUGUGGACCAGAGUCAGAAUACACAGGGAGUUUUGUGGGACAGUGAGCCGGAGCCCAUAAGUAUAAGGUCUGACGUGGGCUUAGAAGAUGAAAUGUGGACACAAUCUUAUAAAACUGGCUAUGAGCACCUGAACUUCAACAGUACUCAGCAGUGCCUUCGAAAAAUCUGCAAAAACAUCAGCGUGCAAAACCUCCGAGCCCUGGAAGUUGAGCCAGGCAUGGGACUUGGGCUGAAAGCUGCUUCUCAGCAUGAUACUCUCAUGGAGGAUGCUGACCCAAUUUCCAUUGUAAGCUCUAUCCCUACCGUUAUGGAAAGCCACAACGAUUCUUCACGUCCACCUUUAUUUUGCAGAGGAUUCUUUACAGACAACAAUAUUUCUUUUCCAGAAAUAUUUGAGUAUUUCUUCAACGAAGAUGAUACUGAGACUACACAGCUAGACAACAAAGAGUCAAGGAGCCCCCCAAGGAGCCCCCCAAGUCAUGGAAAUUCAGUACCUGAGACAUAUGAUUAUUUCUUUUCAGACUUUGAGACCGGCAAUUUUUUCCUUCCGCUGAUCGAAAGAGAUAAUUGCCAAAAUGAACCUGUCCCUAUUUUCGCCCACUCACGGUCCAGUAAACGAAGACUCAGACUUUCUACAGAGUAUGAUUUUUACCCCCCAGAUGACUCCCCCGUCAUGUCUGAUGAUGAUGAUUUUGAAACAGCCCCAGUGCGAGUUGUGACCCACUCUGACCACAGUGGUUUUAAGACUGGGAAGACUGCUACAUCAGUUGAGAUAUAUGAGGAAUUUUUUGAAGACAACACCUGGACUGAAGACCUGUUCUGGAGAAACCCAUUCUCACUAAGGCGAUUGUGCCUCCCAGGACUGACAGAUACAAAGGAAAAUCCCAACACCUGGUCCCUCAGAACCACCGACUGCAAUGAGAAAAGCCCCCCCAGGACGCCAAAACAGCAGGCUCACAGUCACAGCUCAGCACACAUCUACCACCUGGAAUCCUGGGUCUUUAGACAGAUGACAGAACUUCAGGAGCAGCAUGUAAAUCUUAUCACAACACUCACUGACCCAAGAAGGGACAGCCGCUUCCUGGCUCUUAGGCAGUCGGACUUGUGCAUGAUCUGCAUUGCCUUCGCCUCCUGGGUCCUUAGGUCUGCCAGUCCUCAGGCAGGUGACACUUGGAAAGCUGCUCUCCUAGCUAACAUCAGUGCACUGUCUGCCAUACGCUACCUGCGAAGGAGCAUCAAGAAUAAGGCAGCUCAGGAGGGACCGUGAUGCUGCUCAGAAAUAUCCUUCAGGAAACCUUCUAUUAUUAUUUGUGUGUCGAUUAUGAAAGCACUUGAAUGACCAGGGAAAACCACAAAUGUAUCCAACAGUUUAGAUAGAGCAAACACCACUUUGCAAACGUUUGCACGGCAAACAGGAUUCUUGCUCAGAUGUUCAGCAUCACCAAUGGAAUACAUACUGUAAACUGGCCACUGGUAAAAUAUUGCAGUGCAAAGCAUACUGUCUGCUGGAUCGUGAGGGCAUUGCUACGGCGAGUGGAAUUAGAGACCUCUGGACCGAUCAACUGACAAAGGUAACGGAUUGCCUUUCUUGGAGAAUAUUGUCUGGGUACGCCAGCGAAUACUGGCAGUCUCUAAAAACCCUCGCCCUGUGGAGAGAGCCCCUCACGAUCCGCGUGUCAGUGUCAUAUGGAUCCUCCAGGUAUGCCGGUGUUGUGCCGAAUUCUGCACCCCUGCCCUCGACUUAACCAAGAACAAAAACUGCUCGGAGCAGGUUUGAGACUUAGCAUAAAUUGCCAUAGCAGCAUGCCUCGAGUAAAACCUACCCACCUUCCGUAGUACGGGUUAAUCGCGAAGUUACACCACACAUCAAGUUACUCGCAAAGUUACCCCGAUAAGCCAGUAACCCCGCUUCGUAGUACAGCCCCCAGCUACUCAAACCUUUGGCUGGUAAGCCAUACAUAUAUAUAUGUAAUACAUCUCUCAUAAUUUUCAAUGAUGUCAUAACAAUUGUUGCGUAACAGGAUAAUAUUUGCAAAACAGUGGGACUUAAAGAAUAAUAUGAAUACAUUUGACCUGCUUAGCAAAUUGCAGUUGUUUCUUUACAGUCUUGAUUGCUUUGGCACAUUUCAUGAAACAAACUUAAUGUAAUUGAAGGAGUACUGAAUGAAGCACAUUUCCUGAAUUGUGAGGGAGCGUCAGUUACAGCACUACAGGCAUGUGAAACGAUUCACUGAGGGUGAUCCAGCUCGCAUGAUUCUCAUUACUGAUGAUUACUGUGAUAAAAAAAAAAAAUCUUAGAGUGCAUCUCAAGACCUAGCUGGAUCUGGUCACAGCUCUUCAUUGACAUCACAGGCAAUAUCCUCAUCAACUCUAUAGCGUGGGAAGAAACUCCGUCUAUGUCACGUGCCUCUUCCAUUGCCUGCAGGAGAGGCUUGUACACAUAGGGCCACCAAUCACACACCCUCCAUCACUACACCAAAAAAACCUUCAGUAGGAUAGAGAAAUGGAAAGCUGGGAUGAAGAUGUUUUAUAAGAAAUUGUGAGUGGACAAUAAAGCGUUUUAGGACCAGGACUGCUGGAAGCUGACAUUGUUCCAAACUAUAUGUGCAGUUCUGUGUAUACGAAUGUUGUGCAGUCUGUAUGAAAAUGCAAGUAUGUGGGCUGUCAUGUAUGUAGUCCAAAGAUGGGAUGUUGGACGAAUGUAUUUUUUGACGUGGCCACUAGCACAUUCAGCUAGUCAAUCUGUCACUGACUUUUUAACCCAAUAUAUGUAAUUAUUUAAUUCAACUGUUGAUGAUAUUUAACAAAAUCAUGGAAUGGCUGAGGUGGCCCUGAGGAGAAGUUUGGGAACUGAAGCGGUGUUCAUCUAGCCAUCCAACUAGAGUAACAGUAUCAGUAACUUUUUAGAAAACAAAAAGAAAUUAUUACUAGUUUUUAUUGUGUUACUCUUAAUUUGCACGUUCUAAUGUUAAAUUGUGUUUUUUGGUCUAGGCCAAAGUACACUUGCUACCCAGAUAAACAGCUUUAAACAUUUCGUUAGACUGCCUAAGAUUUUGCACAGUACUGUAUAUAUUGAUGCAUAUAUUAUUUUGGGUUUAAAAUGAUGUCGUUGUAUUGUAUAUGGUGAUUUGCAUAUUAAGAAGUUAUGUUUUGUUACGCACAAGUGACUUCAUUGUGUAUAGGGCUUACUUUCAUUGCUUUGCAAAUGUUAGUCAUUUGAGAAAUGUGCCAAAGCAACUGAGAAAAACUGUAAAAAAAAAAAAAAAAAAAAAAACACUUGCUUUUUGUUUAUUUUACUGCGUAAUGCUUAUUUGACAUUGUAGUUCUUGAUCUGUGUUGAUCUUGAGUUUUAUGCAAUAAAAAGGGAAACAAAAAUGUA